UUGCCAUAUUUGUCCUGCCGGGCCCCACCAAUGUCACCCCUAGAGGUUCCGAAGAGCUCACCUUAGCCCAUGCGGGAUUAGGAAAAAGAGUGUUGGCUGUUUCAGAUCAAAGCAGACAUGAACAGAUUGUCAGACAGAUGGAGGAGGAGUUUUUGAAACUCAAACCACUUAAUGGAAGAUGGAUGUUCCACAAAGCAGCAGGUGGAAGCGGCCAGAGAAGGUUGUCUGUGAUACCCAUGGAUGCAGAGGGUUAUAGUGGCCACCAACUUCGAUCUGCAUCAAAUAAUGGCAAAAUAGUUCUAUUCUUGGUGCCCCUCCAGGAGGAAAUGGACACAGA
Melanotaenia boesemani (Boeseman's rainbowfish) is the source of this 337-nucleotide long non-coding RNA. RefSeq lists it as uncharacterized. NCBI's taxonomy places the organism in Eukaryota, Metazoa, Chordata, Actinopteri, Atheriniformes, Melanotaeniidae. The record is from RefSeq and is a predicted model, not a curated record. The transcript has 3 exons.